Molecule: long non-coding RNA, 2502 nt
Organism: Choloepus didactylus (southern two-toed sloth)
Lineage: Eukaryota; Metazoa; Chordata; Mammalia; Pilosa; Megalonychidae
Exons: 5
Source: RefSeq, a predicted model, not a curated record
CUUCUUCUUCAGGACAGGGGAGGAGUUCCAGUUCAGGCAGGGCCGGCCCAUGAUGUCGACAUUGGCCUUCCCUCGUUGCAUCGUUGAAUGUUGGAGAAGUACUUGUAGGACACACAUGUUCCUCCAUUCAGACAGCCACAGUUCACUGGAGAGCACAAAUGUGAGGAAUGUAAGUUCUGCCAGGACAGGAAUUUUGUCUGACUGUCCUCUUCUGCUUCCCACGUGACUGGAACAUAGCAGGAGCUCCGUAGAAUGAAUGAAUGGAUGGAUGUCCUCUCUGAGUUUAUUUUACAACAUCCCCAACAAAAGGGCAACUAUUGUUUCCUUCCAAGGACUUCAUCCCCCUUACCUUCCAAUACCUCCCUGACAACUGCCUCAUUCCCUCCAGUCUGAAGAAAAGUCAAUGCAAAAUGGUUGCCCUGAAAUAUCCAGCGUGGAAUCCUUACUCCCAGCGAAGAGGUGAGGUCCUUGCUGGAACAGCAGGGUCAUAGAUCAGUUUUACAUUUUCCCCUGGGAUAGGCUCAGGGGUCUCCAGGGCAGCCCUAGUCUGGGCUUGUUCUGACCUUGCCCAUCCCUCUCCACUGCACAUUAAUGAAUAUAAGGUUUUAAGGAUCAGCAUCUGGAGGUCAGGAACCAAGUUGCCUUGAGCACCGGCUAAGGGGACACUUUGAUGAACUGGUAGGUGGCCCCCAGAGUUGUGCUUCUUGUUUUUACCCACAGCUGGGGGCAGCUGCCUCCAUUUCUAGAAUGCAGGUGACUAGCUGUCACUUCUGCCUUGAAGGUGGAUGACAGAAACUCAAGACUUACUCUCAUACACAACCUUGUUGCUCUGUCCCACACCAGGACUUGGGACCUACCUGGCUCUCACCCUGGCGCUUCGAGAUAGGAAGUGGCCUUACUCCCCACCGCUUUACUUCCUGUUGCCCUGGGGAGGGGUGGGGCAUGGUGCUCUGUCACCUCCACCCUUUCACUUGGCCCUCUCUGCCCUCCUCCCAUGAAAUCUGUGCAUGCUUUUCCUCUCUGGGCUGCACUCCCUUCUAUUCCCUGAUUACCCCCACUGGGCAGUCUGGUUCUGGAACCAGUUCCCAGGGCUGUUGGGUAAGGAAAGGAAAGGCACCCUCCCUGGGGGUUUUGCUCCACCCACCCCCUUGGGAAGGUGGCCUUCAGCCUCUCAGCUGCCUCUCAACUCCCGGUGGGCAUCCUGCCGUAAUCAAGACUGAGCUGCAGCAGUUGGCAUGAGCUCCACCCUGCCCAGUUGGGGCUGCCCAGUUGGGGCUGGUCCCCAAAUCAGGAAUCUGCCCACCCUGUUUCUCCUCCACUGAGACAGUCAGGUGCCUCUGUCCCACCACCCUGUGAUGACAGGGACAAAGGAACAGGUGGCAACUCCCUCUGCCAGUGCCCCAAGGAGCCCUUUCAUUCCACGGAUUUAUAUAUUGGGGGUCUGUGGCUGGCUGAUUAUACAAUGGUGAACAAAGGAGGUGGAGGCCCUGCCCUGCUUGAGCCUACAAUUUAGUGAGGAGGCAAAUAUUAAACAAAUAAUAAUAGCUAACUCUCAUAUAAUUCUGAUUAGGUACUAGGUGCUACUCUAACUGCUUUACAUGAUUCAGUCCAUUUAACGCUCACAACCCUACGAGGGUGAUACUAUUAUUCCCAGUUUUCAGAUAAGGUAACUGAGGCACAGAAAGAUUAAGUGACUUGACCAAGGUCACACAGCUGGUCAGUGAAUUGCCCAGAACUCCAAGCCAGGCAGUCGGACUCCAGGGUUCACGCUUUUUACUACUGUGCUCUAGGGCUCCCGCUUCUCAUACCAGUAAAUGUAUCAUUACAAAAAGUGUUAAGUGCCAUAAAAGUAUGGGGUGUUCUGCAAGAAAAUGGGGAUAUUUUCUCCUUCUUUCCACUUGCCCUUUUAGCCUGGAUGCACAAAUCCUUUUCUAAUAUUUUCCACUUCAUCCCUUUCACUAUUAGCUUGAAAGAGAACAUCCUCUCAUUUCUAAGGUUGGAGUGCAGGGAGGCACAGUUUCACCUGCAUCCUUGUACCCCCUCUUCCCGUGGUCUCCCUGAUCAAACUGUGCCUAAAGCAUUUCUUCCAAUAAUGGCCCUGAUGCUUGCUCAAGUCUAGACCGUCAUCUCCCCGAGGGAAGGCUGCUGGAAGGUGACUCUGCACCGGCUGGGGGUAUGCGGGGUGGUGGUGGUGACUCCUGAGUGUGCAGGCUGACAUAGGUUUUUUGACCUUGGCCCUCUCUGCACAUCAUGUGAGCCGGGCUGGGGGCUUAGGACCCCGUGUGUUGGGUCCCUCAAGGAGCUCGGUGGUCCAGCCCCCUACACCUCAUCCAACACACACACAUCCUCGCGCGCACCUUCCCGAGCCCAUGCAGGGUACUCCCGGGGACGAGCCCACAGGUCGCAAACCUUUCAACUUCCUAUGCUGGGGUGGCCUGGGGCUGGGACACCCCCUCCCCGCGGCUCCCGUGCGCUCCCGGCUCUGCCAGGGCGGCACCCGAG